RNAcentral lists this long non-coding RNA (201 nucleotides) under Lathyrus oleraceus (garden pea). RNAcentral describes it as "Pisum sativum (pea) long non-coding RNA (PSAT_LNC014515)". Lineage: Eukaryota; Viridiplantae; Streptophyta; Magnoliopsida; Fabales; Fabaceae. The record is from RNAcentral.
GGAUACCGGAACACUGGCCUGAAUGCCACUUCGGUCUGGAUACCGGAAAACUGGCCUGAACGCCACUUCGGUCUGGAUACCGGAAAACUUCAUGCCUGUCAGCAUCGGCAGAAAUAGGGAAUGAUAAUAGAGGCGGCGCCUGGGCAAUGACACAAAGUUAAGUCAUGAACAAUCUUCAGUCUGAGUACUGGAAACAACUUC